Molecule: long non-coding RNA, 2753 nt
Organism: Dermacentor andersoni
Lineage: Eukaryota; Metazoa; Arthropoda; Arachnida; Ixodida; Ixodidae
Source: RefSeq, a predicted model, not a curated record
UCGGAACACGUCUGCAUCGAAACGGGAGCUGGAUUCUGGUGCGGCUGACAACGGUAAUAACGACAUGCAGUAAUGAGGAUGGCACCAGUAUAAAGCAACACACUCCACACACUAAACAGAAGCUGCUGCCUGCUACAACAAGGCCAUUGUGUGGACAUUGGCUGCUACUACAAGAGUCCAUGCCAAGCAUACCUUGGUCAUCACAGGAGCUCCUAUCCACACCAACAGAAAGGGGCUGGAGCUGAAUUUGCAAGGCUUUUACACCACGAACAAAGAAGCGCAUGCAGAAGAAUUUACAUGAGAUAUCAAGUCUGCAGAGCACUGUGUCAAGACUGAAAAGAGCUUCAGCCACCAUUCCACCAGCGCGGACAAAUUGGCUUAGUCAUCCAGGUAACUCAAAAAGGACUUUAUGGAAAUUCUUCGUCUUCAGAUGCGCCUGCAACUUCUGAUCAAGCACGGACGACGCUGGCCAAAAGAGUUCCAUCAGUUUGCCCUUAAUCAGCUUCCUGGCCAUGUCAAUUCCAUUUGUGCCAAGUGUAAUUUUUCUUCUAUAAAUGCAAGCUUUUUCAUUGCCCAUUCUCGUUAGAGAUCAUUCAUCCUCAUCCAAACAUAAAGGUCAACCGAUUCUUCGCUGAUACUUAAUACCAGUCACUGUCUAGUAGCAUAACAUAUCUGUAGCAGUACCUUUUAGUGCAUGUUGUCAUGCACAAUUCCUCUCCUGAAAUAGCUGAUGCAACAUCGACAUGUUUCUUGCAUUAACCUACGCACUGUUUGCUAUGCACCAUUUUACUUUUCUUGAUGUUUUUGGCCUUCAAUGCUUGCAGAGCAGGGUGGCUUCUCUCUUGAAUGCAAGCUUUCUCAUUUUCCAUAUUCCUAGUCUCGUUGAUGGUUGCUCUUCUUCCUCAAUAGCCUGGGUCUUUGCGCAAGCUACACUGAAUGAUAGAUUGCAGAAUCUGGUUUUGCUGCCCCGCUUGGUUGUGGUCGCCGUGUUACAUUUCUCGGAUGUGGGGGCCUGCUCAGUUACAUUGGUAAGCAGUCUCUCGAGGUAAGCAUUUGCUCCUGCAGUCCGCACAGCGACAUAGACUCCCAAUUUACACACCAUGAUUCGUGCUCCCCGUUCAGCCUUUCCUGCUGCAGCCAUGUGCAAAUUGUGCCUGCGGCUUUUCUCACUCGCAAUUAAGCACGAACGGAGACAAGCAUACGUGCUUACAUGGUCCAACGUGUUUGAAGUUCAUAGCCGCAUGGGUGGAAAGGCCCGCAUAAAUGGCUGCCGAAGGUGAUGUCCACGAAAGCGACUUGUCCAUAUUGAGACAAAGUGGGACACCAAAUGUGAGCCACACAUUAGUGGCCCUUGACAGAAAAGAAACAUGCAGGUUGGAAAGGAGUUAACGCUAAAAUGCCGGAUAGUCCAUUUCGCUGUGUUGGUUGUGGCAGCAGAUGCCUGCAUCACUUGAUUGCUUCGCAAUGGAAGUUGCUCAUCUUCAACGGCAACUGUCGGUUCAAACAGGUGCGACGCUCUGUCCAAUCUGUUUGUACUGCUGUUCGUCGUUCGUUACCAGACCACCACAUGCGACGAAGGCAAGCAUUAUGCCUGUAAGUAGGCGGCUGAAUGUAUCCUAAGAGACCCGUGUAUGUGAAUGCUCACUGUUGCCAUAUGGUUUGUAGCCAAUGUAUAACGUAUUCUCUGAACACUAUGUGGUGAAUGAUUGCCGUUUAUUUUUGCUGUUAUCUCACUAGGUUACGGUCGCCGUGUUAUGCUUAUCGGAUGUGGCGGCCUGGUCAGUUGCACUGGAAAGCAGUUUCUCGAAGUAAGCAUUUGCUCCUGCAAUCUGCACAGCGACAUAGACUCCCAAUUUACACACCGUGAUUCGUGCUCCCCGUUCACGUUCAGCCUUUCCUGCUGCAGCCAUGGGCACAUUGUGCCUGUUGCCUUUCUCGGCCGCGAUUAAGCACGAACGGAGACCGGCAUACGUGCUUACAUGGUCCGACGUGUGUGAAGUUGGGUGCAAAGGCCCGCAAAAGUGGCUGAUGAAGGUGAUGCCCACGAAAGCGACUUGUCCAUAUUGAGACAAUGUGGGACACCAAGUGCGAGCCACACAUUAGCGGCCCCCGAAAGAAAAGUAACGUGCAGGUUGGAAAGGAGUUAAGGCUAAAAUGCCGGGUAGUCCAUGUCGCUGUGUUGGCUGCGGCAGCAGAUGCCUGGUUCACCCGAUUGUUUCGCAGUGUUAGUUGCUCAUCUUUAACGGCGACUGCCGCUGCAAACAGGCGGGACACUGACCAAUCUGCAUGAGCCGCUGGUUUUCGCUCGUUACUAGACCGCCAUGUGUGACGACGACGGUGAGCCGUUUACGAGCUCGCGUCAAAGAUUCCAGAGUAUCUCGACAUACAAAUUUUAUUUCUGCUAUUGCACGAAAAUGUACAUACACUGCUUGUCUUCUGCCAAUAAAGUCGCACGUUCUGUUCACUCACUUGUGGCUUGUUUGUAUGGGCGUCAGUAGAGGCUCUUUGCUCUCCUGACAAUUAGAACGCACCGGCUACGCGGCAGCCGAGGCGAGUACGGCGCGUACGAGCGGAUACAAGCGUACACGACCGGCAAAAAGCGGCCAUAUUGAAUAAUGCUCUAAAAAAAAAUGCGCAAUUCCGCUUCCUGUUUUAGCAGCGUUAUCUGGCGUCCACCUAGGUAAGUUCCAUGCGCUGCCGCUGCUUAUUUUCGAACCACUGCGGAAGGUACAGUUUCCCUUCUCUAAAGUUGU